GCUCACUCAAAAAUAGAAAUAAGGAACCCAUUCCAAAUUAUAAAAAUUUCUUACAACAUAUAAGUAAUCCAACGUUACAAGCGACCAUAGCGACAUAUUAAUAAAAAUUACAAAUACAAUCUCAAACCACCCGCAAAUAUAAACCAAACUACUUAAUAAAAUAGCCCGUAACUUCAACACACAGCCCCCUCUCUCCCUUCAUUAUUAUACUCAAACCCUAGUAAAACCCUUACCGAACAAAACGCACAAGCACGUAAAUGCUAAUCACACUGGAGUAGACUCCUUCACCUCCUCCACCUUACCUUCCUCUACCGGAGCUGCAGCUUCCGCAGCAGCUGGCUCUUCAACUGCUGCCGGCGCUGCAGCUGGCUCUUCAACAGCUGCCGCAGCAGCCUCUGGUUCUGCUGCCGGAGCUUCGGGUGCUACUUCUUUCGGUGUCUCUUCCACAACUGCCUCCGCUGCUGGUUCAGGUGUAGCUUCCGGUUCUACCACAUCAGCCGCCUCUUCGGCCUUCUUAACUUCUACUGUCGGCUCCUCUGCUGCAGGCGCUGGCACCUCUUCUACGGUUGCCUCCGCGGCUUCCACUGCAGCCUUUUCUGUAACCGGUGCGGACGCCGGUACAGUUUCCACCGGGACUGGAGCAGAUUCCACCUCUACUGAUGCCAUUCGGAAUAUCGAACAGAGGGAGGAAUCCGAAUCAAAGA
This 704-nucleotide unclassified non-coding RNA is filed under the name Hevea brasiliensis (rubber tree). The record is from RNAcentral. Lineage: Eukaryota; Viridiplantae; Streptophyta; Magnoliopsida; Malpighiales; Euphorbiaceae.